GACGAACGCUGGCGGCGUGCUUAACACAUGCAAGUCGAACGGAAAGGCCCUGCUUUUGUGGGGUGCUCGAGUGGCGAACGGGUGAGUAACACGUGAGUAACCUGCCCUUGACUUUGGGAUAACUUCAGGUAACUGGGGCUAAUACCGGAUAGUAGCUCCUGCUGCUUGUUGGGGGUUGGAAAGUUUCGGCGGUUGGGGAUGGACUCGCGGCUUAUCAGCUUGUUGGUGGGGUAGUGGCUUACCAAGGCUUUGACGGGUAGCCAGCCUGAGAGGUUGACCGGCCACAUUGGGACUGUGAUAAGGCGCAGACUCCUACGGGAGGCAGCGGUGGGGAAUAUGGCACAAUGGGCGGAAGCCUGAUGCAGUAACGCCGCGUGCGGGAUGACGGCCUUCGGGUUGUAAACCGCUUUCGCCUGUGACGAAGCGUGAGUGACGGUAAUGGGUAAAGAAGCACCGGCUAACUACGUG
Molecule: ribosomal RNA, 468 nt
Filed under: uncultured bacterium
Lineage: Bacteria
Description: partial 16S ribosomal RNA
Rfam family: Bacterial small subunit ribosomal RNA
Source: RNAcentral